GAUGAACGCUGGCGGCGUGCCUAAUACAUGCAAGUCGAGCGAACAGACGAGGAGCUUGCUCCUCUGACGUUAGCGGCGGACGGGUGAGUAACACGUGGAUAACCUACCUAUAAGACUGGGAUAACUUCGGGAAACCGGAGCUAAUACCGGAUAAUAUAUUGAACCGCAUGGUUCAAUAGUGAAAGACGGUUUUGCUUUCACUUAUAGAUGGAUCCGCGCCGCAUUAGCUAGUUGGUAAGGUAACGGCUUACCAAGGCAACGAUGCGAAGCCGACCUGAGAGGGAGAACGGAUAGAUGGGCAGUGAGAAAGGGCCGAGACUCUUGCGGGGGGACGCAGCAGGGAAUCCUACGCAAUGGGGGAAAGCGUGACGGAGCAAAGUCGCGUGAGUGAUGAAGGUCCUCGGAUCGGAAAAUUAUGAUAUUCGGGAAGAACAAAUGUGUAAGUAACUAUGCUCGUAUUGACGGUACCUAAUCAGAAAGCCACGGCUAACUCCGUG
Molecule: ribosomal RNA, 497 nt
Filed under: uncultured bacterium
Lineage: Bacteria
Description: partial 16S ribosomal RNA
Rfam family: Bacterial small subunit ribosomal RNA
Source: RNAcentral